This is a long non-coding RNA of Sycon ciliatum, 174 nucleotides long. RefSeq lists it as uncharacterized. The record is from RefSeq and is a predicted model, not a curated record. Lineage: Eukaryota; Metazoa; Porifera; Calcarea; Leucosolenida; Sycettidae. The transcript is spliced from 3 exons.
GUGCACUUCCCUAUGUCCAGCUAAACAACCAGAUGAGGGUGGCGAUGGUCAGUUCUUGAGCUUCGAACGGGCAUAAAGCUAAACAACAAGAUGAGGGUGGCGAUGGUCAGUUCUUGAGCUUCGAACGGGCAUAAAGCUAAACAACAAGAUGAGGGCGGCGAUGGUCAGUUCUUG